Molecule: ribosomal RNA, 449 nt
Filed under: uncultured bacterium
Lineage: Bacteria
Description: partial 16S ribosomal RNA
Rfam family: Bacterial small subunit ribosomal RNA
Source: RNAcentral
AACGAACGCUGGCGGCAUGCCUAACACAUGCAAGUCGAACGAGAUCUUCGGGUCUAGUGGCGCACGGGUGCGUAACGCGUGGGAAUCUGCCCUUUGGUUCGGAAUAACAGUUGGAAACGACUGCUAAUACCGGAUGAUGACGAAAGUCCAAAGAUUUAUCGCCAGAGGAUGAGCCCGCGUAGGAUUAGCUAGUUGGGGUGGUAAAGGCGCACCAAGGCGACGAUCCUUAGCUGGGCUGAGAGGAUGAUCAGCCACACUGGGACUGAGACACGGCCCAGACUCCUACGGGAGGCAGCAGUGGGGAAUAUUGGACAAUGGGCGAAAGCCUGAUCCAGCAAUGCCGCGUGAGUGAUGAAGGCCUUAGGGUUGUAAAGCUCUUUUACUCGGGAUGAUAAUGACAGUACCGGGAGAAUAAGCUCCGGCUAACUCCGUGCCAGCCGCCGCAGUAA